Molecule: ribosomal RNA, 469 nt
Filed under: uncultured bacterium
Lineage: Bacteria
Description: SSU rRNA
Rfam family: Bacterial small subunit ribosomal RNA
Source: RNAcentral
AGGACGAACGCUGGCGGCGUGCCUAAAGCAUGCAAGUCGAACGGUUUGAGCAAUUGAACAGUGGCGAACGGCGGAGUAAGUACAUAAGCAACGUGCCCCGAAGACUGGGAUAGUCGUUGGAAACGACGGGUAAUACCAGAUGUGGCUGCGAUCCGGCAUCGGAUAGCAAUUAAACGGUUUUUCGCUUCGGGAGCGGCUUAUGGCCUAUCAGGUAGUUGGUGGGGUAAAGGCCUACCAAGCCGACGACGGGUAGCGGGUCUGAGAGGAUGAUCCGCCCGAGCGGGACUGAGACACGGCCCACACACCUACGGGUGGCAGCAGCUGGGAAUCUUGCACAAUGGGGGAAACCCUGAUGCAGCGACGCCGCGUGGAGGAUGAAGGGUCUAGGCUCGUAAACUCCUUUUGACUAGGAAAGACUUAGGACGGUACCUGUCGAAUAAGGUCCGGCUAACUACGUGCCAGCAGCCGC